GAUGAACGCUGGCGGCGUGCCUAACACAUGCAAGUCGAGCGAACAGACGAGGAGCUUGCUCCUCUGACGUUAGCGGCGGACGGGUGAGUAACACGUGGAUAACCUCCUUAUAUUACUGGGAUAACUUCGGGAAACCGGCGAUAAUACCAGAUAAUAUCUUGAACCGCAUGGUUCAAUAGUGAAUGACGGUUUUGGUGUCACUUAUAGAUGGAUCCGCGCCGCAUUAGCUAGUUGGUAAGGUAACGGCUUACCAAGGCAACGAUGCGUAGCCGACCUGAGAGGGUGAUCGGCCACACUGGAACUGAGACACGGUCCAGACUCCUACGGGAGGCAGCAGUAGGGAAUCUUCCGCAAUGGGCGAAAGCCUGACGGAGCAACGCCGCGUGAGUGAUGAAGGUCUUCGGAUCGUAAAACUCUGUUAUUAGGGAAGAACAAAUGUGUAAGUAACUAUGCACGUCUUGACGGUACCUAAUCAGAAAGCAACGGCUAACUACGUG
Molecule: ribosomal RNA, 497 nt
Filed under: uncultured bacterium
Lineage: Bacteria
Description: partial 16S ribosomal RNA
Rfam family: Bacterial small subunit ribosomal RNA
Source: RNAcentral